AACGCACGAGACCUGCGGACCUGCGGAGGGAUCAUUACUGAGUUUUGGGUGUUCUCUUUGACGCCCGAUCUCCCACCCUUUGUUGAACUACAAUUGUUGCUUUGGCAGGACUGUUCUUUUCUCUUUGGGAGAGGACUGCCGGAGGUUGGAUUUCUGACCUCUGGAGCGUUUGCCUGCCAGUAGCCAACUUCAAAUUCUUUUAUUAAUUAUGUCGUCUGAAUUCUUUAAAUAAAAUGAUUA
This 240-nucleotide unclassified non-coding RNA is filed under the name soil metagenome. Its description in RNAcentral is "partial contains 5.8S ribosomal RNA, internal transcribed spacer 2, and large subunit ribosomal RNA". The record is from RNAcentral.